Nicotiana sylvestris (wood tobacco) is the source of this 72-nucleotide non-coding RNA. The record is from Rfam. Lineage: Eukaryota; Viridiplantae; Streptophyta; Magnoliopsida; Solanales; Solanaceae.
GUGGUUGUAGUUUAUUGGUGAGAAUUCCACGUUGUGGCCGUGGAGACCUGAGCUCGAAUCCCAGCAGCCACA